CAAUGGGCGAAAGCCUGACGGAGCAAUACCGCGUGAGGGAGGAAGGCUCUUGGGUUGUAAACCUCUUUUCUCAGGGAAGAAAAAAAUGACGGUACCUGAGGAAUAAGCAUCGGCUAACUCCGUGCCAGCAGCCGCGGUAAUACGGAGGAUGCAAGCGUUAUCCGGAAUGAUUGGGCGUAAAGCGUCCGCAGGUGGCGAUGAAAGUCUGCUGUUAAAGAGUGAGGCUCAACCUCAUAAAAGCAGUGGAAACUACAUAGCUAGAGUACGUUCGGGGCAGAGGGAAUUCCUGGUGUAGCGGUGAAAUGCGUAGAGAUCAGGAAGAACACCGGUGGCGAAAGCGCUCUGCUAGGCCUGUACUGAC
Molecule: ribosomal RNA, 361 nt
Filed under: Aulosira laxa K48
Lineage: Bacteria; Bacillati; Cyanobacteriota; Cyanophyceae; Nostocales; Fortieaceae
Description: bacterial SSU rRNA
Rfam family: Bacterial small subunit ribosomal RNA
Source: RNAcentral